Molecule: long non-coding RNA, 448 nt
Organism: Peromyscus leucopus (white-footed mouse)
Lineage: Eukaryota; Metazoa; Chordata; Mammalia; Rodentia; Cricetidae
Exons: 4
Source: RefSeq, a predicted model, not a curated record
AGAUGAAAUGUGUCCAGGAAAGAGCUGGGACUGGAGCACUCUGUGUGCCGGCUCAGAUGUCCUGUGAAAACCCCAAAAUAUCUAUAAAGUGGGCUUGGAUUUGGACCUUCUCAAGAGGAAGGUUUAAAGGCUGAGGGGACUAUAAAGGGAUGAUGCUAAGUAGUUCUGAUAUUUCAAGUUGGAUUCCUAGACUGAAGCUGGACUCACUUGUCAACAGAGAAACUAAAGUUGGAAUUCAAGAAGUACAAACAUUUAGUGUUCAGGAGAGAAUAACCUGAUUGACACCACAUUUCUGAUCUGGACCUUCAUGCUGUAAAUCAUGGUUGUACAAUAAAUGAUAAAUGUCUGCAUUCUUCUAUGACCCAGAGAGGCUAAGUAACAAGGAGGGCUCAAGGUGGACACUUGGAUCUCCCUGGGAAAAGGAAAUAGAAGAUAUUUUGUGGAUGGA